RNAcentral lists this ribosomal RNA (244 nucleotides) under uncultured Geobacillus sp. RNAcentral's name for it is "partial 16S ribosomal RNA". It matches the Rfam family "Bacterial small subunit ribosomal RNA", at positions 1138 to 1382 of the family's 1533-position model. Lineage: Bacteria; Bacillati; Bacillota; Bacilli; Caryophanales; Anoxybacillaceae. The record is from RNAcentral.
CUCUAGAGGGACUGCCGGCGACAAGUCGGAGGAAGUGGGAUGACGUCAAAUCAUCAUGCCCCUUAUGACCUGGGCUACACACGUGCUACAAUGGGCGGUACAAAGGGCUGCGAACCCGCGAGGGGGAGCGAAUCCCAAAAAGCCGCUCUCACGUUCGGAUUGCAGGCUGCAACUCGCCUGCAUGAAGCCGGAAUCGCUAGUAAUCGCGGAUCAGCAUGCCGCGGUGAAUACGUUCCCGGGCCUU